RNAcentral lists this long non-coding RNA (200 nucleotides) under Elaeis guineensis (African oil palm). RNAcentral's name for it is "long non-coding RNA (EGUI_LNC058110)". Lineage: Eukaryota; Viridiplantae; Streptophyta; Magnoliopsida; Arecales; Arecaceae. The record is from RNAcentral.
GGGAUGAGUCAAUCCAGUUUCAGAACUGACAAUUUUUGCAUAAAUCGAUUAUAAAUUAUUUAUAAAAUUAAAAAUUAAAAAUAUUUCAAAACUAAAGCUAAAUCUAUGUUGAAGUUAUACUUAAUUAAAAAUUAAGUUAAACUAAUUCGAUCUAGAAUUAUGAAUUAUAGAUCUAAUAUCAUUCACAUAAAAUAUGGGGU